This 73-nucleotide transfer RNA is filed under the name Spirochaetaceae bacterium. RNAcentral's name for it is "tRNA-Thr". It matches the Rfam family "tRNA". From Rfam's summary of the family: Transfer RNA (tRNA) molecules are approximately 80 nucleotides in length. Lineage: Bacteria; Pseudomonadati; Spirochaetota; Spirochaetia; Spirochaetales; Spirochaetaceae. The record is from RNAcentral.
GCCAAGGUGGCUCAGUUGGUAGAGCGGCGCACUCGUAAUGCGCAGGUCCGCGGUUCGAUUCCGCGCCUUGGCU